AACCGCAAAGGGGCUCAGUAAACCAGUUUUAAUUUACUAGAGUUGACACGUUACGGUACGUGGAUACCUGUGGUAAUUCUAGAGCUAAUACAUGCAAUUAAGUCCGGACCAGAAAUGGAAAGGAUGCUUUUAUUAGAUCAAAACCAUUCGCCCAACUUGUUUGGGCGUUGUUUUGGUGAAUCUAGAUAACACUUGAGAUCGUACAGUCAUCGUACUGACGACAUCUCUUUCAAACGCCUGACUUAUCAGCUGUCGAUGGUAGACUCUGUGUCUACCAUGGCCCUCACGGGUAACGGGGAAUCAGGGUUCGAUUCCGGAGAGGGAGCCUGAGAAACGGCUACCACAUCCAAGGAAGGCAGCAGGCACGCAAAUUACCCACUCCCGGCACGGGGAGGUAGUGACAAAAAAUAACGAUACGGGACUCUAUUGAGGCCCCGUAAUCGGAAUGAGUACACUUUAAAUCCUUUAACAAGGAUCCAUUGGAGGGCAAGUCUGGUGCCAGCAGCCGCGGUAAUUCCAGCUCCAAUAGCGUAUAUUAAAGUUGUUGCGGUUAAAAAGCUCGUAGUUGGUUCUGCGUGCCGCGCUGUCGGUUCGCCGCCUGUCGGUGUAACUGGCAUGUCGCGGCAUGUCCUGUCGGUGGUGAACGUUGCCCACGGUGCUGCUAAGACUUUUAUAGUCUAAGUUUGUUCCGUGAGUGUAACGUUUGCCGAUCUCUCCUACUCCGGUGCUCUUAAACGAGUGUCGAGGUAGGCCGACACGUUCACUUUGAACAAAUUAGAGUGCUUAAAGCAGGCUGAAAUAUCUGCCUGAAUAGUGGUGCAUGGAAUGAUAAAAUAGGACCUCGGUUCUAUUUUGUUGGUUUUAGGAAUAUGAGGUAAUGAUCAAUGUGGACUGGCGGGGGCAUUCGUAUUG
This 912-nucleotide ribosomal RNA is filed under the name Oncerotrachelus sp. Its description in RNAcentral is "SSU rRNA". It matches the Rfam family "Eukaryotic small subunit ribosomal RNA", at positions 85 to 899 of the family's 1831-position model. Lineage: Eukaryota; Metazoa; Arthropoda; Insecta; Hemiptera; Reduviidae. The record is from RNAcentral.